RNAcentral lists this ribosomal RNA (253 nucleotides) under uncultured bacterium. RNAcentral describes it as "partial 16S ribosomal RNA". It matches the Rfam family "Bacterial small subunit ribosomal RNA", at positions 524 to 776 of the family's 1533-position model. The record is from RNAcentral.
UACGUAGGGUGCAAGCGUUAAUCGGAAUUACUGGGCGUAAAGCGUGCGCAGGCGGUUAUGUAAGACAGGCGUGAAAUCCCCGGGCUCAACCUGGGAAUUGCGCUUGUGACUGCAUAACUAGAGUACGGCAGAGGGGGAUGGAAUUCCGCGUGUAGCAGUGAAAUGCGUAGAUAUGCGGAGGAACACCGAUGGCGAAGGCAGUCCCCUGGGCCUGUACUGACGCUCAUGCACGAAAGCGUGGGGAGCAAACAGG